UCUCUGUUUGUCCCUCUUUCAAUUUGAUUUGCCUAUUUCUAUUUGCAUUCUUCAUUCUUUCAAUAUGGCAUCUUCAGGUUUUGACCAGUUAUGCCAGGAAGCUGCAACUAUUUCAAAGCAUUUUGAAAUGAAAGCUGACAAUGCUGAACUUGAAGCAGCUAACAGGGAGGCUGAAGAAAUUCUACAAAUGUUCAAUCCUCCACUGCUGAAAAAGAAGACCAAACGAGUGAUUUCCUGGACUCAACAGACACUGUGAACUUUGCACUGCAUUUCAAAGCCAGCUUCUCAGCCGCAACACCGAGAACCAGAGUUGAGGUCAAUGUACUGCUGAGAAAAGUGCAAGAUCUGUUUAACCAAAAAUAUAAGGAUGCCGGAGGUACUGGAAGGCUCCCCUGGUAAAUCAAGGCAUGACAGUUAAAGUUGCAGGACAGCCUCAAAAAGCCAUCCUAUUGUGGAAGGAAGCAGUUGGAGG
Non-coding RNA from Paramisgurnus dabryanus, 472 nucleotides. Lineage: Eukaryota; Metazoa; Chordata; Actinopteri; Cypriniformes; Cobitidae. The record is from RefSeq and is a predicted model, not a curated record.